Long non-coding RNA from Hippocampus zosterae (dwarf seahorse), 1307 nucleotides. RefSeq lists it as uncharacterized. The record is from RefSeq and is a predicted model, not a curated record. The transcript has 5 exons. NCBI's taxonomy places the organism in Eukaryota, Metazoa, Chordata, Actinopteri, Syngnathiformes, Syngnathidae.
AAUUUUAACAUUUUAAACUGACUUCGCAGUUUAUCUCUGAAUGUAUUGAUGUCGACGUUUGGGGGACGUUAGUACGACACGUUGCUUCUCUAAUGUUGUGGUUGUGACUCACUAAGUCACUGGAAGUUAUCGUUAAAAACAACGUCAGCAAAGGGCAGUGAGCGAGCACGCCGCCGACAGGUAGACCUCAGCUGUAAUCAAAAAGCAAUCGAGAACCGCGUUUGACUUGAAUACUAUUCUGUAUGUUUUCCACACCAAAGCUGCUAUCGGCAGUGGGAGUGUGAUGGGCUUCACAUCGGGGUGGGGGGCAGAUUUUUUUCAAAACUAUUCACACAAAUGCACCCGUGACUUUGUUCACUUGUUUUUCGAAAGGAGGUUGCUCAUUGUACUUUAGGUGUGGGAGAGAGCAGUGAGUAGAUCGCUCAAACGGAUGUAUUGCGAGUGCCGGCACGUUUGGAAAUGGACGGAUUUAAAGUUAGUCAGAUUACUGGGCCCAAGGCGCAGCCGCCAGACUCUGAGGACAUGCGGAAGGUACACCACCCUGCAUUUGGACACGUAACAGACAAUCACAAAGCAGAGGAAAAGUUGCAAGUUCGAUGGCAGUCUGCUUGUCGCUAGGUGGCAAAGUGGUCGGCUCGUGAGAAGAACGUCGGACAAGAAUCUGAUCAUGUUGACCGCUACCUGAAGAGGAAAAAAAUAGUCUUCAACACUGCGGAAAACAUGCUUGUUGAAAUGAAUUGAGCCUUCUUACCAGCAGAUGGCUCAGUCACAUUUCGCCUCAGACUCCACCGGCUCCAUCUGGAUGACAAAGUGCAGGUGAGUAGACACCAAUUAAAAACCAAAAUGCAGUUCCAUUUUACCCGAACCUGCUGCCGCACGAGCUCUUCAUUUUUCACCCGAUUGAUUCACUGGAAUCUUUUGCUGCAGCACUUGGCCAAGCUGCUACUAGUCCAUUGACUCAUCCAAGGUGGUCAAACCUGCCAAUGUCACAAACAAGGCUCGUCAACUCCUUUUUGUACCUUUGAACGGCAACGUUGAAAAUGGAGGCAGCGGUGAGGACCUGCUACAAGCUUGUCGCAUUUGUCUCUUUGCCCAGCAGGCAGAGGGUCUGACUGGAAGCUGCACUGCAUGCAGAAUGAAAGAAAAAGCAGGUGGAUCGUGACGCCACGUUUCCCGAGGGCCUGCACCAGUGCCGCCUCCAACCAACAGUUCCAGUACUUGGGUUGGAAUUUUGCGACAGGCCCAAACCUUGAGGACGACUCGACUUCACAACGCCUUAUCUGGUUCUUCUGCACCACCUGGUGGAU